CAMMSAYAUAGGUWAGUCGGUAUAAAUGAGUGAAGAGGUGUAAAUCUAUAAAGAAAAUUAAUUUAUUAUGGAGAAGUGGAAUUUGUACAUAAAAAAUUGUAUUAGUUAUUUCUUUUGUUUGAUCUUCGAAAACUAAAUAAGAGACCGGGAUUAGAUACCCCGUUAUUUUUUUUAUAAAUUUUGAUUGGGUUCAAUUUACCUGAGUAUUACGGGUUAAUAAUUUAUAUGAAUAGGUAUUGAAUAUUUGUAAAAUUAUUUGUCACUUAAAACUUAAAAAACUUGGCGGUGCUUUAUUUCCUUCCAGGGGAACCUGUCCUGUAAUCGAUGAUCCACGAUUUAACUUACUUUUUUUUGAAUUAUUAAUAAUUAAAUUAUCAGUUUGUAUACCGUCGUCGUCAGAUUACCUUUAARAGUAAAAAAGUUGUCAUUUAAAAUAUAAAGUGUUGCUUCGGUAGAUUUUAACAUUUUUGGCUUCUGAUGUCARAUCAAGGUGCAGCUCAUAGAAAAGUAGAGAUGGGUUACAAUAUAAAUUUUAUAUAAUGGAUGCUAAUGUGUAAUAAUUAGAUGAAAGUGGACUUGGGAGUAAUAUAAUUUAUAUUUUUAUUUAAAUUAGAUAGUUUAUGUGAAUAUAGGUACUAAAGUGCGUACACAUCSSSSSCCCMYCYYYUCA
Molecule: ribosomal RNA, 670 nt
Filed under: Trochidae gen. 2 sp. 2 KMD-2016
Lineage: Eukaryota; Metazoa; Mollusca; Gastropoda; Trochida; Trochidae
Description: partial 12S ribosomal RNA
Source: RNAcentral